AGUUACUAGUAAUCGCAGAUCAGAAUGCUGCGGUGAAUGCGUUCCCGGGUCUUGUACACACCGCCCGUCACACCACGGAAGUUGGGGGCGCCCGAAGCCACUUAGCUAACCCUUUUGGGAAGCGAGUGUCGAAGGUGAAAUCAAUAACUGGGGUGAAGUCGUAACAAGGUAUC
This 173-nucleotide ribosomal RNA is filed under the name uncultured bacterium. RNAcentral's name for it is "partial 16S ribosomal RNA". It matches the Rfam family "Bacterial small subunit ribosomal RNA", at positions 1330 to 1500 of the family's 1533-position model. The record is from RNAcentral.